This 253-nucleotide ribosomal RNA is filed under the name uncultured bacterium. RNAcentral's name for it is "partial 16S ribosomal RNA". It matches the Rfam family "Bacterial small subunit ribosomal RNA", at positions 524 to 776 of the family's 1533-position model. The record is from RNAcentral.
UACAGAGGGUGCAAACGUUGUUCGGAAUUACUGGGCGUAAAGGGCGCGUAGGCGGCCUGUUAAGUCGAACGUGAAAUCCCCGGGCUCAACCCGGGAACUGCGUCCGAUACUGGCAGGCUUGAAUCCGGGAGAGGGAUGCGGAAUUCCAGGUGUAGCGGUGAAAUGCGCAGAUAUCAGGAGGAACACCGGUGGCGAAGGCGGGUCUCUGGGCCGAUACUGACGCUGAGGAGCGAAAGCGUGGGGAGCAAACAGG